Molecule: long non-coding RNA, 333 nt
Organism: Megalobrama amblycephala (Wuchang bream)
Lineage: Eukaryota; Metazoa; Chordata; Actinopteri; Cypriniformes; Xenocyprididae
Exons: 4
Source: RefSeq, a predicted model, not a curated record
GUGGGCGGGCUCUCUCCGCAAGCUCCCGCCACUUGCAACUAAAUGCUGGAACAGUUUGUUGCCCUCAGGAACAAAUUUGAUCAGGAGAAGUUUAAAGGACCCCCUGGUUCCUGCGGAGAACAGGUCACACGUCAGGGCUAAAUCUCAGUGGACAACUCGUGUCGGCCUUCAGCGGAGAUGCUAGCGGUGUACAUAGGUUCACGCCUGUCACCAGCACUCACCCUGUUCAUCAACUAAGCACUGCACACACUCAAAGGGCUGUGUGAGGGUCUCUGGUUUACCCAGCAUGUUUGGGCCUGGCAGCUCUGGAGUGCAUAAAUGUGUGAAUAUGCG